Molecule: transfer RNA, 73 nt
Filed under: Cavia porcellus (domestic guinea pig)
Lineage: Eukaryota; Metazoa; Chordata; Mammalia; Rodentia; Caviidae
Rfam family: tRNA
About the family: Transfer RNA (tRNA) molecules are approximately 80 nucleotides in length. Their secondary structure includes four short double-helical elements and three loops (D, anti-codon, and T loops).
Source: Rfam by way of RNAcentral
UUCAAUUUAGCUCAGCGGCAUAAGCGCCUGUGUUGCAAGCAGAAAGAUGUGGGUUCGAUCCCCUUUAUUGAUA